RNAcentral lists this ribosomal RNA (483 nucleotides) under uncultured bacterium. Its description in RNAcentral is "partial 16S ribosomal RNA". It matches the Rfam family "Bacterial small subunit ribosomal RNA", at positions 29 to 506 of the family's 1533-position model. The record is from RNAcentral.
AUUGAACGCUGGCGGCAUGCCUUACACAUGCAAGUCGAACGGGAACGGGUCCUUCGGGAUGCCGACGAGUGGCGAACGGGUGAGUAAUAUAUCGGAACGUGCCCAGCAGUGGGGGAUAACUGCUCGAAAGAGCAGCUAAUACCGCCUACGACCUGAGGGUGAAAGGGGGGGAUCGCAAGACCUCUCGCUAUUGGAGCGGCCGACAUCAGACUAGGUAGUUGGUGGGGGAAAGGCCUACCAAGGCAACGAUCGGUAGUUGGGCUGAGAGGACGACCAGCCACAGGGGGGGUGAGAGACGGCCCAGGCUCGGAGGGGAGGCAGCGGUGGGGAAGUUUGGAAAAUGGGCGGAAGCCUGAUCCAGGGAUGGAGCGUGCAGGAAGCAGGCCUGCGGGUUGUAAACUGGUUUUGUGAGGGAAGAAAUCUUCUGGGCUAAUACCCGGGGAGGAUGACGGUACCGGAAGAAUAAGCACCGGUUAACUACGU